UGCGUAGGCGGUUGGGUAAGUCAGACGUGAAAUUCCAGGGCUCAACCCUGAAACUGCGUUUGAUACUGCCUGACUAGAGUACUGGAGAGGAGACUGGAAUUCACGGUGUAGCAGUGAAAUGCGUAGAUAUCGUGAGGAAGACCAGUGGCGAAGGCGAGUCUCUGGACAGUAACUGACGCUGAGGCACGAAGGCUGGGGGAGCAAACG
Molecule: ribosomal RNA, 207 nt
Filed under: uncultured bacterium
Lineage: Bacteria
Description: partial 16S ribosomal RNA
Rfam family: Bacterial small subunit ribosomal RNA
Source: RNAcentral